UGAGAACUACUGAAAGUUUCCAGUAGGUUCGGCUGCCGACCUCGCCGACUCACCCACUAGGUUUAUUCAAGCAUAUGUAGGCAAGAAAAGAGAACAGAUAGUAAUCAACUAUAUCAUGUAACUACUACAAUGCCUAUACAAAACUAGAAAGAACAAUACAUAACUCAUGAGAUUUAUGCAUGCAUACUAUCAUAUACCAUUAUCCAAUCAAUUCAGUUAACCCCAUAAUUAACUGCAACUCACCAAUUAACUUAACUUAAACAUAAACUCGUACCUCAACUCGAUUCCUCGAAGAGAUGAGGAUAGUGCUCCUUCAUCAC
This 320-nucleotide long non-coding RNA is filed under the name Ananas comosus (pineapple). Its description in RNAcentral is "long non-coding RNA (ACOM_LNC009110)". The record is from RNAcentral. Lineage: Eukaryota; Viridiplantae; Streptophyta; Magnoliopsida; Poales; Bromeliaceae.